UGUAAAGAAAAUGGUGGUUUUAUAUUAUUUCAUGAGUUCUUUUGGAUACUUCUAAUAUCUCUAAGCACUUUGUGUUAUCAAAUUUUUCACCAAUAAAUUUAUUUUUUUGAUCAUUUUCAUCCGUUAUAUUAUACUCUUCAGCCAAUCACCACUCAAUCCUAUGGGAUUAUUAUUAUUCUAACCACACAUCGAUCCUUUUAUCCAAUGGCAGAAAAUCUAAUAGUAUUGAGCACUUUGUACGUUUAGCCAAACAUCAUUAUAAUUUUCUAUUUCUAUCGGAUUGCUCGGAAUCUUAAAAAAUGGCGCGAAUCAAACGCCCCUUAAGUUAAGAUUUAGAAAAGGUAUUUUGACUUUUUUUAAUUUUGAUAAAAAUUUACUUCGCAUUUAAUCCAAGAUGACUUAUGGUACUAACAACAGAGGAAUAUACGAUGAGUAUAUUCGAAACAAAAAAAAAAAGUAAAAAUAUAUAAAAUAUUUCAUAAAUUUUGACAGAUAUAUAAAUAAUUAUUUCUCUCUCUCU
This 520-nucleotide long non-coding RNA is filed under the name Ananas comosus (pineapple). Its description in RNAcentral is "long non-coding RNA (ACOM_LNC020792)". Lineage: Eukaryota; Viridiplantae; Streptophyta; Magnoliopsida; Poales; Bromeliaceae. The record is from RNAcentral.